Molecule: small nuclear RNA, 21 nt
Filed under: Arabidopsis thaliana (thale cress)
Lineage: Eukaryota; Viridiplantae; Streptophyta; Magnoliopsida; Brassicales; Brassicaceae
Description: snRNA_01968
Source: RNAcentral
UGAAGAUAUGAUAAAUUAAGU